RNAcentral lists this ribosomal RNA (409 nucleotides) under uncultured bacterium. Its description in RNAcentral is "bacterial SSU rRNA". It matches the Rfam family "Bacterial small subunit ribosomal RNA", at positions 505 to 916 of the family's 1533-position model. The record is from RNAcentral.
GUGCCAGCAGCCGCGGUAAUACGGAGGAUGCGAGCGUUAUCCGGAUUUAUUGGGUUUAAAGGGUGCGUAGGCGGGUUUUUAAGUCAGUGGUGAAAGUUUGCAGCUCAACUGUAAAAUUGCCAUUGAAACUGAAGAUCUUGAGUGCAAAUGAGGUAGGCGGAAUGUGUUGUGUAGCGGUGAAAUGCAUAGAUAUAACACAGAACUCCGAUUGCGAAGGCAGCUUACUGGGAUGCAACUGACGCUGAUGCACGAAAGCGUGGGUAUCAAACAGGAUUAGAUACCCUGGUAGUCCACGCAGUAAACGAUGAAUACUAACUGUUUGCGAUAUACAGUAAGCGGUACAGCGAAAGCGUUAAGUAUUCCACCUGGGGAGUACGUUCGCAAGAAUGAAACUCAAAGGAAUUGACGG